Molecule: ribosomal RNA, 207 nt
Filed under: uncultured bacterium
Lineage: Bacteria
Description: partial 16S ribosomal RNA
Rfam family: Bacterial small subunit ribosomal RNA
Source: RNAcentral
CGUGCAGGCGGUCAUGUAAGUCGAGCGUGAAAGCUCCCGGCUCAACCGGGAGAGGACGUGCGAAACUGCGUGACUGGAGGCAGGUAGAGGCGUACGGAAUUCCGGGUGUAGUGGUGAAAUGCGUAGAUAUCCGGAGGAACACCAGUGGCGAAGGCGGUACGCUGGGCCUGACCUGACGCUAAGACGCGAAAGCAUGGGGAGCGAACG